RNAcentral lists this ribosomal RNA (282 nucleotides) under Clostridium botulinum. Its description in RNAcentral is "partial 16S ribosomal RNA". It matches the Rfam family "Bacterial small subunit ribosomal RNA", at positions 1 to 281 of the family's 1533-position model. Lineage: Bacteria; Bacillati; Bacillota; Clostridia; Eubacteriales; Clostridiaceae. The record is from RNAcentral.
UUUAAAUUUAGAGUUUGAUCCUGGCUCAGGACGAACGCUGGCGGCGUGCUUAACACAUGCAAGUCGAGCGAUGAAGCUUCCUUCGGGAAGUGGAUUAGCGGCGGACGGGUGAGUAACACGUGGGUAACCUGCCUCAAAGUGGGGGAUAGCCUUCCGAAAGGAAGAUUAAUACCGCAUAAUAUGAGAGAAUCGCAUGAUUUCUUAUCAAAGAUUUAUUGCUUUGAGAUGGACCCGCGGCGCAUUAGCUAGUUGGUAAGGUAACGGCUUACCAAGGCAACGAUG